RNAcentral lists this ribosomal RNA (494 nucleotides) under uncultured bacterium. Its description in RNAcentral is "partial 16S ribosomal RNA". It matches the Rfam family "Bacterial small subunit ribosomal RNA", at positions 28 to 507 of the family's 1533-position model. The record is from RNAcentral.
GACGAACGCUGGCGGCGCGCUUAACACAUGCAAGUCGAACGGAAAGGCCUGCUUUCCCUUGUGGAUUGCGGGUACUCGAGUGGCGAACGGGUGAGUAACACGUGAGUGAUCUGCCCCCAACUUGGGUAUAAGCCUGGGAAACUGGGUCUAAUUCCCGAUAGGACCGCAGGGUGGUGCCUGUGGUGGAAAACGAUUUUCUAGUGGUUGGGGAUGAGCUCGCGGCCUAUCAGCUUGUUGGUGGGGUAAUGGCCUACCAAGGCGGCGACGGGUAGCCGGCCUGAGAGGGUGGACGGCCACAUCGGGACUGAGAUACGGCCCAGACUCCUACGGGAGGCAGCAGUGGGGAAUAUUGCACAAUGGGCGGAAGCCUGAUGCAGCGACGCCGCGUGGGGGAUGACGGCCUUCGGGUUGUAAACUCCUUUCGACCGCGAGGAAGCCACCUGGUUGGAAGGGUGGUGACGGUAGUGGUAGAAGAAGCACCGGCUAACUACGUG